UUUAGACAGCAAAAGUUGAUGUUAUAAUAAAAAAUAAUGCCAUCUUCAGUGCAUAUUCUUGAAGAGUUCACCCUCCUGUCGUCCUCUCUGUAGGGUCACCCUGGUCAGGACGGUGGCAGAGGAUUACCAGGACUGGAUGGUUGCAAUGGGACCCGAGGGGAUCCUGGAGUACCCGGCUUCGGGACAGGACAACGCGGAUUACCUGGGUUUGCUGGGCCUAGUGGGCCAAAGGGUCAAAAGGGAGAACCUCGAUACAUCUCAACUAAUGGCAUCCCGGUAAGGUCUCUUACACAUACACAUCACAUUUACAUUUAGGUUCCAGUUUUUACGUCAGCAUUUAUCUUCAUUUAUAACACAUGAUGCUUAGAAACUAAAUUCCUUUCAUGGAUCAAUGGUUCUAUCCAUUUGCACUUAUUUAUUUCCAUAUUUUCUGUAUUUUUACAGGCUAAAAUUGUUUUUCUAGUACAUAAAGUAGAUUAAAAAUGUAUUUCACUGUCAUCUCUUUUUUUUUUCCUUAUUUAGGGUUUACCGGGUUUGCCAGGACCAGACGGUGCCCCUGUAAGAUCUUUAUCUGUUCUGCUCACUGCACAAUAACAGCCCCGUGAAUUCAUACUGGAACAGAUGUUGUUGUGAACUGUGAUGCUAUAUGAUGUUGUUUACUGUCACUAAACAAAAUACAGAUUGAUUUUUGGUCAGUGUAAAAAUAAAAGACUAAAAAACUAAAACUAAUUAGAUUAUGAACUACUUGCCUCUUUUUUGCAAGUUUGUGUAAAAUAAUAAAAUAUCAUUUUUGUAUGGGAAUUUAUUCUGUCGUGAUCUGCUUGUGUUUUACCUCUGCAGGGUAUCAGAGGUCCUAAUGGUCAAUAUGGUUUUCCUGGUCCAAGAGGGCCUGACGGAUUCCCCGGACGACCUGGUCUUCCUGGUCCCCCAGGGCUGAAUGGGACCCGUGGUGACGCACAUCGAGGAGAGAAAGGAGACAAGGGCGACGUGGGCUUGCCCGGUGACCCCGGCCAGCCAAUGAUCAAUGGCAUUGUGGAGUUUGUGAGUUUUACCAAAGGAGACAAAGGGAUGCAGGGUGAGCCGGGCCCAAAGGGAGUCAAAGGAUUUCCUGGCAGGCCUGGACAACCUGGAUUUGCCUGGUACCCUGCUGAACCCGGAGAGAAGGGCAUUCCUGGAUACCCCGGGGCAAGAGUAAGAGCUAAUGCCUGACUCUAUGAUAAUAACUAUAUAUAUUAGAGAAUAAAUACAUAAAAAUCCUGCCUUAACCUCAGCAUAG
Molecule: long non-coding RNA, 1276 nt
Filed under: Mastacembelus armatus (zig-zag eel)
Lineage: Eukaryota; Metazoa; Chordata; Actinopteri; Synbranchiformes; Mastacembelidae
Description: lncRNA (ENSMAMG00000027880.1)
Source: RNAcentral